Molecule: ribosomal RNA, 273 nt
Filed under: uncultured Parvimonas sp.
Lineage: Bacteria; Bacillati; Bacillota; Tissierellia; Tissierellales; Peptoniphilaceae
Description: partial 16S ribosomal RNA
Rfam family: Bacterial small subunit ribosomal RNA
Source: RNAcentral
AUAUUUAACGAAAGUGGCGAACGGGUGAGUAACACGUGAGCAACCUGCCUUACACAGGGGAUAGCCAUUGGAAACGGUGAUUAAUACCCCAUAAGACCACAAUACCGCAUGGUAAAAGGGUAAAAGGGAUACCGGUGUAAGAUGGGCUCGCGUCUGAUUAGCUAGUUGGUGGGGUAAAGGCCUACCAAGGCGACGAUCAGUAGCCGGUCUGAGAGGAUGAACGGCCACAUUGGAACUGAGAAACGGUCCAAACUCCUACGGGAGGCAGCAGAG